CAGCAGCCUAGACCCUUGGCAUUGGGGACUCUCCUUUCAUCCAAAGAGCCAUCUAUUUUUUCCUUCCCCAGUGGGUUUGCUGAGUUCCAAACCAGCAGCUGCCCUUUUCCUGGACUGUGGAGAGCGUGGCAAGUGUAAAUCUUACCACCGGCUAAAGCUCCUGACCUGAGGAGAAGGCUCAGCAUUAAUACUUCAGGAGCUUGUGAAAAGGAAACUCCACUGUAGAUUGGUGCUGGCAAGAAAACAGGGCUCCAUCUUCCUAUAGCUCCUGGAUGGAGGGCUCUCUUCUCAGGAGACCACAGCAAGAAAACUGCCAUCUGCAAGCCAAGAAGAGAACACUCACCAGAACCCAACCAGCUGGCAUACUGAUCUCAGACUUCCAAUGUCCAGAACUAUGCG
Long non-coding RNA from Manis javanica (Malayan pangolin), 399 nucleotides. RefSeq lists it as uncharacterized. Lineage: Eukaryota; Metazoa; Chordata; Mammalia; Pholidota; Manidae. The record is from RefSeq and is a predicted model, not a curated record.